CCUCCCGGGGUUUGUUCUGAUCUUUUUCUGUUUGUCCAGAAAGAGUCCGGUGGUAAACCGUGCCCCUUUGACUGUCCCCAACUCGAUGAAGAUGCUUUUCCCCAGCCUUUGGUACACGAGUCUGGGGGUACACCAUUCCCCUUUAACUGUCCCCAAUUCGAUGAAGAUGCUUUUCCCCAACCUUUGGUAAAUGAGUCUGGGGGUACACCAUCCCCCUUUGACUGUCCCCAAUUCGAUGAAGAAGAUGCCUUUCUCCAACCUUUGGUACAUGAAUCUGGUGGUACACCGUCCCCCUUUGACUGUCCCCAAUUCGAUGAAGAUGCUUUUCCCCAACCUUUGGUACACGAGUCUGGAGGUGCACCGUCCCCCUUUGACUGCCCCCAAUUCAAUGAAGAUGCUUUUCCCCAACCUUUGGUACACAGGUCUGGGGGUACACCGUCCCCCUUUGACUGUCCCCACUUCGAUGAAGAUGCUUUUCCCCAACCUUUGGUACACGAGUCUGGUGGUACACCGUCCCCCUUUGACUGUCCCCAGUUCGAUGAAGAUGCUUUUCCCCAACCUUUGGUACAUGAAUCUGGGGGUACACCGACGCCCUUUGACUGCCCCCAAUUCGCUGAAGAUGCUUUUCCCCAACCUUUGGUACACGAGUCUGGUGGUACACCGUCCCCCUUUG
This 673-nucleotide long non-coding RNA is filed under the name Capsicum annuum. RNAcentral's name for it is "long non-coding RNA (CANN_LNC005726)". The record is from RNAcentral. Lineage: Eukaryota; Viridiplantae; Streptophyta; Magnoliopsida; Solanales; Solanaceae.